This 589-nucleotide ribosomal RNA is filed under the name Clostridioides difficile. RNAcentral describes it as "bacterial SSU rRNA". It matches the Rfam family "Bacterial small subunit ribosomal RNA", at positions 952 to 1533 of the family's 1533-position model. The record is from RNAcentral. Lineage: Bacteria; Bacillati; Bacillota; Clostridia; Peptostreptococcales; Peptostreptococcaceae.
CGAAGCAACGCGAAGAACCUUACCUAAGCUUGACAUCCCAAUGACAUCUCCUUAAUCGGAGAGUUCCCUUUGGGGACAUUGGUGACAGGUGGUGCAUGGUUGUCGUCAGCUCGUGUCGUGAGAUGUUGGGUUAAGUCCCGCAACGAGCGUAACCCUUGUCUUUAGUUGCCAUCAUUAAGUUGGGCACUCUAGAGAGACUGCCAGGGAUAACCUGGAGGAAGGUGGGGAUGACGUCAAAUCAUCAUGCCCCUUAUGCUUAGGGCUACACACGUGCUACAAUGGGUAGUACAGAGGGUUGCCAAGCCGUAAGGUGGAGCUAAUCCCUUAAAGCUACUCUCAGUUCGGAUUGUAGGCUGAAACUCGCCUACAUGAAGCUGGAGUUACUAGUAAUCGCAGAUCAGAAUGCUGCGGUGAAUACGUUCCCGGGUCUUGUACACACCGCCCGUCACACCACGGGAGUUGGAGACGCCCGAAGCCGAUUAUCUAACCUUUUGGAAGAAAUCGUCGAAGGUGGAAUCAAUAACUGGGGUGAAGUCGUAACAAGGUAGCCGUAUCGGAAGGUGCGGCUGGAUCACCUCCUUUCUAAGGA